This 253-nucleotide ribosomal RNA is filed under the name uncultured bacterium. RNAcentral describes it as "partial 16S ribosomal RNA". It matches the Rfam family "Bacterial small subunit ribosomal RNA", at positions 524 to 776 of the family's 1533-position model. The record is from RNAcentral.
UACAGAGGGUGCGAGCGUUGUCCGGAAUCACUGGGCGUAAAGGGCGCGUAGGCGGCCUGAUAAGUAGGGGGUGAAAUCCUGUGGCUUAACUGCAGGGCUGCCUCCUAGACUGUUAGGCUCGAGCACGGUAGAGGCAGAUGGAAUUCCCGGUGUAGCGGUGGAAUGCGUAGAUAUCGGGAGGAACACCAGUGGCGAAGGCGGUUACCUGGAGCUUUGCUGACGCUGAUGCGCGAAAGCGUGGGGAGCGAUCCGG